UAGGGAAUCUUCGGCAAUGGGGGGAACCCUGACCGAGCAACGCCGCGUGAGUGAAGAAGGUUUUCGGAUCGUAAAGCUCUGUUGUUAAGGAAGAACGGGUGUGAGAAUGGAAAGUUCAUACUGUGACGGUACUUAACCAGAAAGGGACGGCUAACUACGUGCCAGCAGCCGCGGUAAUACGUAGGUCCCGAGCGUUGUCCGGAUUUAUUGGGCGUAAAGCGAGCGCAGGCGGUUAGAUAAGUCUGAAGUUAAAGGCAGUGGCUCAACCAUUGUAGGCUUUGGAAACUGUUUAACUUGAGUGCAGAAGGGGAGAGUGGAAUUCCAUGUGUAGCGGUGAAAUGCGUAGAUAUAUGGAGGAACACCGGUGGCGAAAGCGGCUCUCUGGUCUGUAACUGACGCUGAGGCUCGAAAGCGUGGGGAGCGAACAGG
Molecule: ribosomal RNA, 429 nt
Filed under: Bacteroidota bacterium
Lineage: Bacteria; Pseudomonadati; Bacteroidota
Description: Bacteroidetes bacterium partial 16S ribosomal RNA
Rfam family: Bacterial small subunit ribosomal RNA
Source: RNAcentral